GGUUAAGCGACUAAGCGUACACGGUGGAUGCCCUGGCAGUCAGAGGCGAUGAAGGACGUGCUAAUCUGCGAUAAGCGUCGGUAAGGUGAUAUGAACCGUUAUAACCGGCGAUUUCCGAAUGGGGAAACCCAGUGUGAUUCGUCACACUAUCAUUAACUGAAUCCAUAGGUUAAUGAGGCGAACCGGGGGAACUGAAACAUCUAAGUACCCCGAGGAAAAGAAAUCAACCGAGAUUCCCCCAGUAGCGGCGAGCGAACGGGGAGCAGCCCAGAGCCUGAAUCAGUGUGUGUGUUAGUGGAAGCGUCUGGAAAGGCGCGCGAUACAGGGUGACAGCCCCGUACACAAAAAUGCACAUACUGUGAGCUCGAUGAGUAGGGCGGGACACGUGGUAUCCUGUCUGAAUAUGGGGGGACCAUCCUCCAAGGCUAAAUACUCCUGACUGACCGAUAGUGAACCAGUACCGUGAGGGAAAGGCGAAAAGAACCCCGGCGAGGGGAGUGAAAAAGAACCUGAAACCGUGUACGUACAAGCAGUGGGAGCACAGAGCAAUCUGUGUGACUGCGUACCUUUUGUAUAAUGGGUCAGCGACUUAUAUUCUGUAGCAAGGUUAACCGAAUAGGGGAGCCGAAGGGAAACCGAGUCUUAACUGGGCGUUAAGUUGCAGGGUAUAGACCCGAAACCCGGUGAUCUAGCCAUGGGCAGGUUGAAGGUUGGGUAACACUAACUGGAGGACCGAACCGACUAAUGUUGAAAAAUUAGCGGAUGACUUGUGGCUGGGGGUGAAAGGCCAAUCAAACCGGGAGAUAGCUGGUUCUCCCCGAAAGCUAUUUAGGUAGCGCCUCGUGAAUUCAUCUCCGGGGGUAGAGCACUGUUUCGGCAAGGGGGUCAUCCCGACUUACCAACCCGAUGCAAACUGCGAAUACCGGAGAAUGUUAUCACGGGAGACACACGGCGGGUGCUAACGUCCGUCGUGAAGAGGGAAACAACCCAGACCGCCAGCUAAGGUCCCAAAGUCAUGGUUAAGUGGGAAACGAUGUGGGAAGGCCCAGACAGCCAGGAUGUUGGCUUAGAAGCAGCCAUCAUUUAAAGAAAGCGUAAUAGCUCACUGGUCGAGUCGGCCUGCGCGGAAGAUGUAACGGGGCUAAACCAUGCACCGAAGCUGCGGCAGCGACACUAUGUGUUGUUGGGUAGGGGAGCGUUCUGUAAGCCUGUGAAGGUGUGCUGUGAGGCAUGCUGGAGGUAUCAGAAGUGCGAAUGCUGACAUAAGUAACGAUAAAGCGGGUGAAAAGCCCGCUCGCCGGAAGACCAAGGGUUCCUGUCCAACGUUAAUCGGGGCAGGGUGAGUCGACCCCUAAGGCGAGGCCGAAAGGCGUAGUCGAUGGGAAACAGGUUAAUAUUCCUGUACUUGGUGUUACUGCGAAGGGGGGACGGAGAAGGCUAUGUUGGCCGGGCGACGGUUGUCCCGGUUUAAGCGUGUAGGCUGGUUUUCCAGGCAAAUCCGGAAAAUCAAGGCUGAGGCGUGAUGACGAGGCACUACGGUGCUGAAGCAACAAAUGCCCUGCUUCCAGGAAAAGCCUCUAAGCAUCAGGUAACAUCAAAUCGUACCCCAAACCGACACAGGUGGUCAGGUAGAGAAUACCAAGGCGCUUGAGAGAACUCGGGUGAAGGAACUAGGCAAAAUGGUGCCGUAACUUCGGGAGAAGGCACGCUGAUAUGUAGGUGAAGUCCCUCGCGGAUGGAGCUGAAAUCAGUCGAAGAUACCAGCUGGCUGCAACUGUUUAUUAAAAACACAGCACUGUGCAAACACGAAAGUGGACGUAUACGGUGUGACGCCUGCCCGGUGCCGGAAGGUUAAUUGAUGGGGUUAGCGCAAGCGAAGCUCUUGAUCGAAGCCCCGGUAAACGGCGGCCGUAACUAUAACGGUCCUAAGGUAGCGAAAUUCCUUGUCGGGUAAGUUCCGACCUGCACGAAUGGCGUAAUGAUGGCCAGGCUGUCUCCACCCGAGACUCAGUGAAAUUGAACUCGCUGUGAAGAUGCAGUGUACCCGCGGCAAGACGGAAAGACCCCGUGAACCUUUACUAUAGCUUGACACUGAACAUUGAGCCUUGAUGUGUAGGAUAGGUGGGAGGCUUUGAAGUGUGGACGCCAGUCUGCAUGGAGCCGACCUUGAAAUACCACCCUUUAAUGUUUGAUGUUCUAACGUGGACCCGUAAUCCGGGUUGCGGACAGUGUCUGGUGGGUAGUUUGACUGGGGCGGUCUCCUCCUAAAGAGUAACGGAGGAGCACGAAGGUUGGCUAAUCCUGGUCGGACAUCAGGAGGUUAGUGCAAUGGCAUAAGCCAGCUUGACUGCGAGCGUGACGGCGCGAGCAGGUGCGAAAGCAGGUCAUAGUGAUCCGGUGGUUCUGAAUGGAAGGGCCAUCGCUCAACGGAUAAAAGGUACUCCGGGGAUAACAGGCUGAUACCGCCCAAGAGUUCAUAUCGACGGCGGUGUUUGGCACCUCGAUGUCGGCUCAUCACAUCCUGGGGCUGAAGUAGGUCCCAAGGGUAUGGCUGUUCGCCAUUUAAAGUGGUACGCGAGCUGGGUUUAGAACGUCGUGAGACAGUUCGGUCCCUAUCUGCCGUGGGCGCUGGAGAAUUGAGGGGGGCUGCUCCUAGUACGAGAGGACCGGAGUGGACGCAUCACUGGUGUUCGGGUUGUCAUGCCAAUGGCACUGCCCGGUAGCUAAAUGCGGAAGAGAUAAGUGCUGAAAGCAUCUAAGCACGAAACUUGCCCCGAGAUGAGUUCUCCCUGACUCCUUGAGAGUCCUGAAGGAACGUUGAAGACGACGACGUUGAUAGGCCGGGUGUGUAAGCGCAGCGAUGCGUUGAGCUAACCGGUACUAAUGAACCGUGAGGCUUAACCUU
This 2905-nucleotide ribosomal RNA is filed under the name Escherichia coli. RNAcentral's name for it is "23S ribosomal RNA". It matches the Rfam family "Bacterial large subunit ribosomal RNA". The record is from RNAcentral. Lineage: Bacteria; Pseudomonadati; Pseudomonadota; Gammaproteobacteria; Enterobacterales; Enterobacteriaceae.